Long non-coding RNA from Cyprinodon tularosa, 506 nucleotides. RefSeq lists it as uncharacterized. The record is from RefSeq and is a predicted model, not a curated record. NCBI's taxonomy places the organism in Eukaryota, Metazoa, Chordata, Actinopteri, Cyprinodontiformes, Cyprinodontidae. The transcript is spliced from 3 exons.
UAUGCACCGAACCUGGAACUGAUUACUGAUUCCAUCCUGGAUUUUGGUACCUCUUUGUGUCUUUGAUCUCCUGGCUCUGACUCCCAACCUGUCAGAGGCUUGAACCAACCUCAUUCUCUGUGGAUGGACUAAACUUAAAGACCAGGUCUCCUGCCUGCUCACUGGGGUUGCUGCAUGGGGACACUCUGGAACACUCAGCUCUACAUCUCACUGGCAGUGCAUCAGCUGAUCCUGCUUUUGAUGAGAAGUCGGACUGAACUUUUAAACCAGAGUGCCAGUGAUGAGCGAUUCUCCGCCUUGCUGCUGCAGUAGCUGCAGGUCUGCUGAUCCACAGCAGUCUCUUUCUGUUCCAUCUCAUUACUUUGUCAUUAAAAGUUUUGAAACCUCCGACUAUUUGACUCGCCUUGAAUACUGGGUUCAUCUGUCCCAUUUUAUGACGCUUUCAGAAAGACCAGAAACUUUUAUUUGAGCAACAAUAAAUCCACACACUUCAACAAGCAACUUCU